CAUGCGUGGAACAUUCGAUCACUGGCUGUGUAGCUAACGGCUAAGCUACGGAUCCAGCCGACAUGGAGAGGAAAGUGCUGGCACUCCAGGCGAGGAAGAAGAGGGUGAAAGCAAAGAAAACCAACAAAAAGCUGACGGGCAGGGCUGAGAUGGAUUUUGGUAGCCCGAUCAGAAAAAUCGCUAG
This is a non-coding RNA of Neolamprologus brichardi, 184 nucleotides long. Lineage: Eukaryota; Metazoa; Chordata; Actinopteri; Cichliformes; Cichlidae. The record is from RefSeq and is a predicted model, not a curated record.